GGUUUCCUGGUGUAAUGGUCAGCACUGCGGAUUCUGAUUCCGCCAAUCUGGGUUCGAUUCCCAGGGAGACCU
RNAcentral lists this transfer RNA (72 nucleotides) under Hypoxylon fuscum. Its description in RNAcentral is "tRNA-Gln". It matches the Rfam family "tRNA". Rfam says of the family: Transfer RNA (tRNA) molecules are approximately 80 nucleotides in length. Lineage: Eukaryota; Fungi; Ascomycota; Sordariomycetes; Xylariales; Hypoxylaceae. RNAcentral also lists the same sequence under 2 other names. The record is from RNAcentral.